Molecule: long non-coding RNA, 2434 nt
Filed under: Arabidopsis thaliana (thale cress)
Lineage: Eukaryota; Viridiplantae; Streptophyta; Magnoliopsida; Brassicales; Brassicaceae
Description: ncRNA (AT4G04221)
Source: RNAcentral
CAAAAAUACCUUAAACAAGGUUCGCACCUUGGUUUAUUACACCAUUCUGAUUUAAUUUUUUGCUAUUAUUCAUAAGGAUUUUCUUAAAAAACUUGUAAGGUCCCUCAAUGGACAUGCUCUUAGAGCUCGCCAUCUACUUGUCGUGUCGAGAGACAAGGUCGGUGGUGCUUCAAAUCGACGGUUUUUCCCGGAUCAAGGAAAGCAUGGUACUUGGAUUUGCAUUCCACAGAUUCCGCUGUUGUUCGCGUAAAUGUUUGGAUUGUUCAAUCUGUCUAGCUGAGGACUUUCAGGGAUUCUACCUUUAAGCUUGUUGUUACGCAAAUCCAAUGUAUUCAGCUCGCUUAGCUUGGAUAACGUUUUCGGGAUUUCGCCAGUGAGGUUGUUGUGUGAAAGGUCUAAGCUCUCUACCUUCUCAAGAUCUCCAAAACUUUGUGGGAUCAAUCCAGAGAACUCGUUGUUGGAAAGAUUUAAAACCUUUAGGCUUUUGAGAUUGCCUAAAGAAGUUGGGAUUUCUCCGUGUAGCUUGUUCUUGGAGAGAUCUAAGAGAGUGUAGAGGAGCUGAAAUAGGGACGGAUAGUCAUAGCUGAGGGCUCAGGAGAUUUUAUCAUGCAUGUAAGAUUCCCAAGAGAUGAAGGGAGAUAUCCAUCAAGAUUGUUCUCAGAGAGAUCCAAGACCUUAAGGCUUGUGAGAUUUGAUAUGCCUUCUGGGAUUGAACCUUUGAGGGAAUUGUUUCUCAGGCUAAGAACCUCUACAGAAGAAGAUAACUGGGAGAUUAAACUCGCGACUGUUCCAGAGAUUUUGUUGUCAUGGAGAUCAAGACGGAUCAGAUAUGAAAGAUUUCUGAAGUUCUGAGGAAAUUCGCCGCUGAAAUUGUUCUGACUCAUUAAGAGCAUACUGGUGGAUCCUCCAAAGUAAGCUGGAACAUCCCCAGAGAACUCGUUCGAAGAUAUAUCGAGCCACUCAAGGUAUGACUCGGGGCGGAACCUCGGGAAUUCACCUGAUAAUCGAUUCUUUGACAAGUCCAACAACUUGAGAAAGGGGAUCUUUGUAAUAGACUUUGGUACUGAUCCUGAGAAGUUGUUUUCAGACAACAUGAGUACCAUGACCUGUGAUUCGCCAAUCGUAUCAGGGAUCUGACCAGAAAAGUUGUUCCUUGAUAGUACAAGAUAGUAUAAGCUCGGACGCUGAAACAAAUUUGGAGGCAGUGAGCCUGUGAGUCUGUUGUCUGACAAAGUUAUGUUUCUGAUUUUCAGAUCAGCUAGCCAUUUUGGGAAUCUUCCUUCGAGUCUGUUAAUGCUCAAAUCCAAGUAAACAAGAGCUGUUUGAUUCUUGAGCCAAUCCGGAAUAUUCCCUUCUAAGCCACAAGAUCUAAGUGACAGAUGUGUUAACUUAAACUGUGGAAAGACAUAACCAUUAUUGUUCCAUUGGAGUUUGUUGUUUCCUUCAAGCCGUAGUACCUUCAGCUUCUGAAGACCAAACAACCAAGCUGCGGGAAUCUCACCUGACAAGCCAUUGUUAUUCUCAAGCUGAAGGGUUUCAAGAUUUUUCAGAUUAUGAAUCGACGAUGGAAUUCCACCCGACAACUUGUUCAUGCUCAAGGACAGAGUUGAUAGAUUGACCAAGUUUCCAAUAUCAUCUGGAAUCUUAGAAGACAAGAAAUUGUUCUGAAGAUCUAUCGUUUUGAGCUUCGUUAACCGUGAUACAGACGACGGUAUGGAACUAUUGAACAUGUUCUGCCUCAAGGUCAGCGUCAGUAGUUCGACAAGACUACCUUGCAACAUUUUAAAAGAUUCUUGAGCUCUUUGAUGUCACCACUCAACGUACCGCCAAUAACAUUCCUGCUUAAAUCAAGACGCUGAAGAUUUGUCAAGGAGAACAAUUCAUGAGGAAUUGAGCCGUUAAAUCUAUUACAACACAUGUCAAGAGAAAUCAAGCUGGUCAAGUUCACAAACGCAUAUCCAGGAAUCUCUCCUUGUAUGUUGUUAAAUGAGACAUCAAGCCCAACAAGAGAGUUUAUACGCAGAAUCGGUCUCAAAAUGCUUGAACUAACUAAGCCAGGGGGGAUGAGCAAGAAUAGAUUCAGGUCUAUCACUUCUUUGGAAGGCGAACUAGCGUUACAUGUCACGCGUAGCCAUUUGCAGCAAUCUGAGUUUGGCCUCCAUGUCCCUAAUUCUUCAAAGGCUGUGUAGUUGUCCUUGAUGUUGUGAAUCAGCAAGUUCUUGAACUCGAGAAGGGAUUGUCUUUGAUCUUGUGGACAAGAGAAAGAUAGUUGUGGUAUGAAGAAGCAGAAGAAGAGGAAGCAGGAGAGAAGACAUUGCUUCGACAUUUUGCUUUUUGCCCCUUACUGUUCUUCUUUUGUCAUCCAAGUUUUUGGUUAAAAACCAAAUCCGAACAAAUCAACAAAGUUGACUCUGGUAGGGUCUCUCACUCUCGU